AGAGCGAACGCUGGCGGCAGGCCUAACACAUGCAAGUCGAGCGCCCGUAGCAAUACGGGAGCGGCAGACGGGAGAGUAACACGUGGGAACGCGCCCUUCGGUUCGGAAUAACUCAGGGAAACUUGAGCUAAUACCGGAUACGCCCUUACGGGGAAAGAUUUAUUGCCGAAGGAACGGCCCGCGUCCGAUUAGCUAGUUGGUGAGGUAAUGGCUCACCAAGGCGACGAUCGGUAGCUGGUCUGAGAGGAUGACCAGCCUCACUGGGACUGAGACACGGCCCAGACUCCUACGGGAGGCAGCAGUGGGGAAUAUUGGACAAUGGGCGCAAGCCUGAUCCAGCCAUGCCGCGUGAGUGAUGAAGGCCUUAGGGUUGUAAAGCUCUUUUAGCAGGGAAGAUAAUGACGGUACCUGCAGAAAAAGCCCGGCUAACUUCGCGCCAGCAGCCGC
Molecule: ribosomal RNA, 447 nt
Filed under: uncultured bacterium
Lineage: Bacteria
Description: SSU rRNA
Rfam family: Bacterial small subunit ribosomal RNA
Source: RNAcentral